GAUCAUGGCUCAGGAUGAACGCUAGCGACAGGCUUAACACAUGCAAGUCGAGGGGCAGCACAGGGUAGCAAUACUUGGGUGGCGACCGGCGCACGGGUGAGUAACGCGUAUGCAACUUACCUAUCAGAGGGGGAUAGCCCGGCGAAAGUCGGAUUAAUACCCCAUGAAACAGGGGUCCCGCAUGGGAAUAUUUGUUAAAGAUUCAUCGCUGAUAGAUAGGCGUGCGUUCCAUUAGGCAG
RNAcentral lists this ribosomal RNA (239 nucleotides) under uncultured bacterium. Its description in RNAcentral is "partial 16S ribosomal RNA". It matches the Rfam family "Bacterial small subunit ribosomal RNA", at positions 15 to 248 of the family's 1533-position model. The record is from RNAcentral.